UAGGGAAUCUUCGGCAAUGGACGAAAGUCUGACCGAGCAACGCCGCGUGAGUGAAGAAGGUUUUCGGAUCGUAAAACUCUGUUGUUAGAGAAGAACAAGGACGUUAGUAACUGAACGUCCCCUGACGGUAUCUAACCAGAAAGCCACGGCUAACUACGUGCCAGCAGCCGCGGUAAUACGUAGGUGGCAAGCGUUGUCCGGAUUUAUUGGGCGUAAAGCGAGCGCAGGCGGUUUCUUAAGUCUGAUGUGAAAGCCCCCGGCUCAACCGGGGAGGGUCAUUGGAAACUGGGAGACUUGAGUGCAGAAGAGGAGAGUGGAAUUCCAUGUGUAGCGGUGAAAUGCGUAGAUAUAUGGAGGAACACCAGUGGCGAAGGCGGCUCUCUGGUUUGUAACUGACGCUGAGGCUCGAAAGCGUGGGGAGCAAACA
RNAcentral lists this ribosomal RNA (427 nucleotides) under uncultured bacterium. RNAcentral's name for it is "partial 16S ribosomal RNA". It matches the Rfam family "Bacterial small subunit ribosomal RNA", at positions 355 to 774 of the family's 1533-position model. The record is from RNAcentral.